RNAcentral lists this ribosomal RNA (246 nucleotides) under uncultured bacterium. Its description in RNAcentral is "partial 16S ribosomal RNA". It matches the Rfam family "Bacterial small subunit ribosomal RNA", at positions 531 to 776 of the family's 1533-position model. The record is from RNAcentral.
GGGGCUAGCGUUGCUCGGAAUCACUGGGCGUAAAGCGCACGUAGGCGGAUUGCUAAGUCAGGGGUGAAAUCCUGGAGCUCAACUCCAGAACUGCCUUUGAUACUGGCAAUCUCGAGUCCGGGAGAGGUGAGUGGAACUGCGAGUGUAGAGGUGAAAUUCGUAGAUAUUCGCAAGAACACCAGUGGCGAAUGCGGCUCACUGGCCCGGUACUGACGCUGAGGUGCGAAAGCGUGGGGAGCAAACGGG